RNAcentral lists this non-coding RNA (24 nucleotides) under Mus musculus (house mouse). The record is from RNAcentral. Lineage: Eukaryota; Metazoa; Chordata; Mammalia; Rodentia; Muridae. RNAcentral also lists the same sequence under 1 other name.
UCCCAUCUUGCCUUUGCCUUCCCA